CUCCUGAAUGGCACACAAGCGCGACACAUCUCCUCUUCAAGAUUCAGCAUCGGUGCCCACCCCUGCAGUUUUCCACUUCCAAACAUCGUGACCAGAGUAUGCAAGAGUUGUUUAGGCCUUGUUUAGUUGGCAUUUUUUUUUUAAAAUUUAUCACCGUAGCAUUUUUGUUUGUAUUUUGGUAAUUAUUGUCUAAUAAUCAUAAACUAACUAGGCUUCGUCUCGCAAAUUACAGGCAAACUGUGUAAUUAAUUACAUUUUUAUCUAUAUUUAAUGCUUCAUGUAUACGUUUAAAGAUUCAAUGUGAUGGAAAAUCUUGAAACAAAUUUAGAACUAUUUAGGUACACUCAAAAACACAAAAAUACUACACUGUCAAAAUGCAAAAAGAUUUUGCAUCCCCUAAGUUUUUUUAUGCAAUAUGUAGUGGUGGAGCGCUCGCUAGGGCUGACACCCUACUACCUUAAGUUUGUUCUGCUAUUUUUUUUUAUCUUGGCUGUAUAUAUCAUGUGUUUUCUCUCAAUGUCUACACAAUUAAUCAAGGCAUGGAGCUCCGACAAUUCUACUACAUGUAGUCACACUUUGUUCUUUAUCUGUCCUCCACCACCGCUCGUAGG
Molecule: long non-coding RNA, 611 nt
Filed under: Sorghum bicolor (sorghum)
Lineage: Eukaryota; Viridiplantae; Streptophyta; Magnoliopsida; Poales; Poaceae
Description: long non-coding RNA (SBIC_LNC011418)
Source: RNAcentral